Molecule: ribosomal RNA, 468 nt
Filed under: uncultured bacterium
Lineage: Bacteria
Description: partial 16S ribosomal RNA
Rfam family: Bacterial small subunit ribosomal RNA
Source: RNAcentral
GACGAACGCUGGCGGCGUGCUUAACACAUGCAAGUCGAACGGAAAGGCCCUGCUUUUGUGGGGUGCUCGAGUGGCGAACGGGUGAGUAACACGUGAGUAACCUGCCCUUGACUUUGGGAUAGCUUCAGGAAACUGGGGCUAAUACCGGAUAGGAGCUCCUGCUGCAUGGUGGGGGUUGGAAAGUUUCGGCGGUUGGGGAUGGACUCGCGGCUUAUCAGCUUGUUGGUGGGGUAGUGGCUUACCAAGGCUUUGACGGGUAGCCGGCCUGAGAGGGUGACCGGCCCCAUUGGGACUGAGAUACGGCCCAGACUCCUACGGGAGGCAGCAGUGGGGAAUAUUGCACAAUGGGCGGAAGCCUGAUGCAGCAACGCCGCGUGCGGGAUGACGGCCUUCGGGUUGUAAACCGCUUUCGCCUGUGACGAAGCGUGAGUGACGGUAAUGGGUAAAGAAGCACCGGCUAACUACGUG